GACAGAGGGUGCAAACGUUGUUCGGAAUUACUGGGCAUAAAGCGCACGUAGGUGGUCCGCUAAGUCGCGUGUGAAAUCCCCCGGCUCAACCGGGGAAAUGCGCGUGAUACUGGCGGGCUUGAGAUCGGGAGGGGUGAAUGGAACUCCAGGUGGAGCGGUGAAAUGCGUAGAUAUCUGGAGGAACACCGGUGGCGAAAGCGGUUCACUGGCCCGACACUGACACUGCGAUGCGAAAGCGUGGGGAGCAAACAGG
This 253-nucleotide ribosomal RNA is filed under the name uncultured bacterium. RNAcentral describes it as "partial 16S ribosomal RNA". It matches the Rfam family "Bacterial small subunit ribosomal RNA", at positions 524 to 776 of the family's 1533-position model. The record is from RNAcentral.